AUAAGAAAUACAAUGACUAAGAAAAAGAAGAGGAAGAGGACUCGUUAAUACAUGUAAAGACUGACAUGAAUGUACAGGAAAGAAGGAACCCUAAGCAAAGCAUGGAAGAAAAGAAAAGAACCUGAAUGUUGAUAAUAAUUAAUAUAUCUUAUUACAAUGACUUUCAUCAAACAAUAUUCGGCUGCUUUUGCCAUUGUGUACAACCAUUACCAUGACUAAAAGAUAGCAGAAAUCAUUUUACCGUAAUACUUUUGCAUAAGUUUAUUAAAUAUUUUUUUCUCUCCUUUGGCUACCCAUAUAGCAAGGUCAUAUUCUGGUCUGUGAUUGUUUACCUUCACGUCCAUUUUGAAUAUGGUGUAUAUAAUAUGUCGCCCAUUUUGUCUCAAAUGAGUCUAUUAUUUUAAUGUAUAUAAAUACUUUGUGGAGAAUCUUUGUCAGGAAUGAUUACCAACAUGAAUACAUUACCAUUACUUUCAUAUUUAACUAAAUUCUAAGAAAAUACA
Molecule: long non-coding RNA, 503 nt
Organism: Penaeus chinensis
Lineage: Eukaryota; Metazoa; Arthropoda; Malacostraca; Decapoda; Penaeidae
Exons: 2
Source: RefSeq, a predicted model, not a curated record